AUAUCUGAAUUGAGAAAUUCAAUACUAUUUUAGUUAUUUAUUUUCUAAAUAAAUAAUCGAUGGUAUGCACUUUUCUCAUAGUAAGACAUUGCGAUCCAUUAGUAGUUUCUUUGAAACGGUUUAUCAAACGGCCUACUAUAGUCAGUUUAAUCUAUCUGCAAUGCUUUUGUAUUGUAUGGUUAAUGCUAUUGUGGUGACCUGGUAAACAGCUGAUGGAGCUUUAUAAUCAUGCUAAACAUGCAUUCGUAUGUAUCACGGUUUAAAUAUAUUCGUUUAUAUUUGAAUGCAGUGAUCGCAUGUAUUUGAUUAGCAAUGCGAUAGAUUUGGGAUACCUUCGGGACCCGUCUUGAAACACGGACCAAGAAGUCUAACAUGUGUGUAAGUCAUUGGGUAUUUUAUGUUGAAACCUAAAGGCGAAAUUAAAAUAACUAUUUUAAUGGGAUUACAAGCAAUUUUUAAAUAAUUGUUUCUCCAUCCCGGGGCGUUCUAUAUGAACAUGGUUUAAGCAAUUAGACCCUCUGUUCGAGAGCGUACCUUGAACAUACAUGCUGUGACCC
Molecule: ribosomal RNA, 557 nt
Filed under: Ectrepesthoneura hirta
Lineage: Eukaryota; Metazoa; Arthropoda; Insecta; Diptera; Mycetophilidae
Description: eukaryotic LSU rRNA
Rfam family: Eukaryotic large subunit ribosomal RNA
Source: RNAcentral